UAAGGAAUAUUGGUCAAUGGACGUAAGUCUGAACCAGCCAUGACGCGUGAAGGAUGAAGGUCCUCUGGAUUGUAACCUUAUUUUAUCUGGGACGAAAACGGGAUUUUUAUCUCAAUUGACGGUACCAGAGGCAUAAGAACCGGCUAACUCCGUGCCAGCAGCCGCGGUAAUAAGGAGGGUGCGAGCGUUAUCCGGAGUUACUGGGAUUAAAGGGUGCGUAGGUGGGCUUAUAAGUCAGUGGUGAAAUCUCCGAGCUUAACUUGGAAACUGCCGUUGNUACUAGAGGUCCUGAAUUAUCUGGAGGUAAGCGGAAUAUGUCAUGUAGCGGUGAAAUGCUUAGAUAUGACAUAGAACACCAAUUGCGAAGGCAGCUUACUACACAUGAAUUGACGCUGAGUCACGAAAGCGUGGGGAUCAAACA
RNAcentral lists this ribosomal RNA (421 nucleotides) under uncultured bacterium. Its description in RNAcentral is "bacterial SSU rRNA". It matches the Rfam family "Bacterial small subunit ribosomal RNA", at positions 355 to 774 of the family's 1533-position model. The record is from RNAcentral.